UACGGGGGGAGCAAGCGUUGUUCGGAUUUACUGGGCGUAAAGGGCGCGUAGGCGGCCAGCGCAAGUCAGUUGUGAAAUCUCCGGGCUUAACUCGGAACGGUCAACUGAUACUGCGCGGCUAGAGUGCAGAAGGGGCAACUGGAAUUCACGGUGUAGCGGUGAAAUGCGUAGAUAUCGGGAGGAACACCUGCGGCGAAGGCGGGUUGCUGGGCUGACACUGACGCUGAUGCGCGAAAGCCAGGGGAGCGAACGGG
Molecule: ribosomal RNA, 254 nt
Filed under: uncultured bacterium
Lineage: Bacteria
Description: partial 16S ribosomal RNA
Rfam family: Bacterial small subunit ribosomal RNA
Source: RNAcentral